GAUGCUGUUGUUUCCAUACAGUGUUUCUUUGAAAAUUGAUAGGUCUCUGUUUAUGGUAAAAAGUGUUUACAUGUGUCACUACAGCUGGUCCCACCCUGAUUUCUAUAGUGUGGAAACCCCUUUCCCUGUGUUAGUAUCACAAGCCUGAGAUUCAAAUCUUAUAGUGUUUUUAUUGUAGGGAUCUUUCAGAGAGAGGGGUUGGGGUCAGAGAGAGAGUUUUCUCUUGGAAAGGUGGUGGCAACAGAAGGAUUUCUUGCUUCAACCAUAUGCUGAACCAGAACAAGCCCUUUCCUGCAGUCUUUGUGUCCUCAUCCUCAGGCCAGUGGAAAAUGCAAUGACAUCUAAUCAAGAAUCAAAGCCAGGAAGCUAGAGUCAGAAGAAAGACUGAACUCCACCAAAGUUUCUUCUUUGUCUCCUUCCACAGAUCCAUGUAAGCAACAGCUCAUGGGGAGCUGAAGAAAAUGAAGGACAACAUAGAUAUUCGAGAGGAUCAGGAAGUGCACAUGGAGUUUCAGCUUUGAGACCUCAUUCUACUGAGUGGUGGAAACAGUCACUUUGGGAUUAUACCCCUGUUCUCCCAGUGUUGAGUUCAAGAUCCAUGGAACUUGUAAAAUGCCAGCAAGCUGUCAUGUUGGAGAAGCUCACAUGGCUAGGAACUGAAGGUGACUUCUGGUCAACAGUCAGAACAGAACUGAAGUCUUCCUGUUGAGUCCAGUAGCCUACAAGGAACUGAAUGCUGCCAACAGCCAAGGAGUGAGCUUGGAAGCCAAAUCUCUCUCAGCUGAAUCUUGAGAUGACUGCAGCCUUGGGCUGACACCUGGAUUGCAGCCUUGUGUGAGACUCUGGAACAGAGGACCCAAUUAAACCAUGUCCACAUUCCUAAUCCACAAAAACUGUGAGAUAAUAAUUGCUUGAUGUUUUGUUUUGGUUUAAUUUUUUGGCCACACUAUGCAGCGUGCAAGAUCUUAGUUUCCCAACCUAGAAUCAAACCCGCACCCCCUGCAAUGGAGUCUUAAUGCUUGCAGUUUUAAGCCACUGAGUUGGGGGAUUAACUUCUUAUGCAGCAAUAGAUAACUAAUACAGAUAGUAACUAAAAUAUUUGGUAAAGAGUCAAGUAAUCUGCCACAGUAAACACAGUAGUUAUGGAGUUGCAUAGCUCUUUUUGCCAUAUACAAGAUCAGUACUUCUAAACAAAUCAAAUUUUAUUCAGAGUGGUUUUGCAUAGGACUUAUAACCUGGCAUUUGCCCUGAAUUUCUGUUCUUAUUUUAUAAAAUCAUAAAAUGUUGGGGCCACAAUUUCAGUAGCUCCAGAAAUUAAUUAUAGAAUUACUGCUAAGCCAUAACAAAGUAUCUUUUUGUAAAAUGAGGUUGAAAACAUUAGAUUUUCUUGGACAUUGUUUAUGGAGUACUCUAAUUUCUCAUUGAUUAUUUUGUAUCUGGUAAAUAUUUUGGUAGCUGUCUACUCUUUAUAAUUUAAAAUAGUAUAGAAAUGCUGAAGUCAGUCCUCACUUGUAUAAAAAAUUCUCAGUUCGUUAUAUAGGUGGAGAUUCUUCCAAAAAAUAGAAUAUGGAAACGGAGACUGAAAAAAGUAACUUGAUAAUGGAGAAGCCUGACUAACAUGGCCUCUAGCCGGAUGACCAAGGUUAACAUCAGUAGUAAUAAGUCAUAUUGGCAGUAUGUAUCCUUGAUAAGACGUGAUGAGAAUGCCACUUUUGCUCUGUGGUAUUCCUCUCCAAAACACAUUACCCCAACCUAAUGAUGAGAAAAACAUCUAAUAAAUCCUACUGGAGGGACAUUCUACGAAAUACCUGACCAAUAAUUCUCAAAACUGUCAAAGUCAUCAAAGCCAAGGAAAGUUUGAGAAGCCAUCAUAACCAGUACUGAAUAUAAUGUGGUAUCCUGGAGCAGAAAAACAAACAUAAUUUUGCAGAAUUCAAACCCUGCUGAAGCACUCAACCACCCGAUCAACUAGAACCUAAGGAUUGAUGAUGACCUUUUUUGACCCUCAUGACUUCAAUCAACUAAAUCUUGGAUUCCUUCAACUUUUGCCCCAAUUCUGUUUCCUAUCAUGAAUAUGCAUAUACUCCCCAAGCCCCUUCAUGUAUAUGCAUAUACUCUUAAAAUUCCCCAGUUUUACUGUUGGGGAGACACAGCUUUGGGAAGGAUUCCUGAUGUUUGCCUUGCUGCAAGUAAUAAAUCCUUCUCCUGA
Hippopotamus amphibius kiboko is the source of this 2209-nucleotide long non-coding RNA. RefSeq lists it as uncharacterized. The record is from RefSeq and is a predicted model, not a curated record. Lineage: Eukaryota; Metazoa; Chordata; Mammalia; Artiodactyla; Hippopotamidae. The transcript is spliced from 6 exons.